AUAUAUAUAUAUAUAUAUAUAUAUAUAUAUAUAGACACCACAUAAUCAUAACCAUAAUCUUAUACCAAAACUCAAUUUAUACCUUGUACUUGUCCUUAUAUCUCAUAACCAAAACUGAAUUUAUACUUUGUACUUGUCCGAAUCAAAAUGCGUGCAAAGCCACUCCCACUCAUCCCGCCUAUGCAAAAGAUCUCCCGGAAUCACGUCUCUCCCCCCAAGCGUGUGAAUCUCAGACAAGUCGUGCUUCCAUUCACAAAAUACACUUGCCGCCCUUUUAUUGAUCCAUUCAAUCGCUUUUAUAUCAUUAAAAUCAAUGAUAGAAAAACACUGCAAGACAUAGAAAACAAGUUAUAAUUAAGUUGCAAUGAUGCAGGGAAUCAAAAUACCAAAAAAAAGAACUGAAAAUUAUCUUAACUUACAGUGAGACCUUAAAAAAUCUUCUUCGUCUCCUCCUUGUCUAAAUCAUACCACGAUUCCUUCUUCAUUGCCACUUUUUUUUCGUAUGAUGCUUCCAAUGCUAUUGACAAACAGGUUGCAUACAUCAGAAAUUACGGGGUCCAUCAAUAACGUCUCAAUCAAAGUCCAAGUCAAUCUUCUUCCCCGUGCUUUUCACAAUAUCAGACAUCUUUGUGUUGUUCACCACACCCCGGUUGCCUUUCUGGGGUAGUCUUUCACUUUUCUUCGGUUUAUGGCAAGGAAGAAAAAAUUGAUAUUUUUGGCGAUAUAUCGCCGAAAAUUUCGUUUUUAUCACCAGGCAAAAUAUCUUUCUCUUCCCAGAAUUUUUUGUCCGAAAUUUUCGAUAUUUCGCGAUAUUUUCCCGAAACUUUGAAAUCUCACCGCGUUUCCCGUUGAAAUCAAGUUUUGUACAUUCCAGCCCAAACCUCCCCCAUGUGCCGAACUCUGACUCCAUCUCCCCCACGCCCCAUGUGCCGAACUCUGACUCUUUGACUUUGACAGUUUGACCACGCAAAAUGCUAAAAUUUAGCAGCAGCCAAGGUGAUUCAAACCUUGGUUGGGUUGGUGCAAGGUUAACACCUUAACCAACCCAACUAACUAUGCAACUUGUAUACUAUGGUAUCUUUAUGAUAUAUAUUAGUUUUUUUUUCCGAAUCUGAAAAGUAAAAAAUUAGGUAAAUGUCUAAUUCCCAACUAAUUUUUUUACCUACACUUCUAUAAAUAAAAAAAACUUUUUUACCUACACUUCUUAUUUCAUUUUUAAAGGUUAGGUAUCAUUUAAUGACUAUUCUUCACAAUACACUGAAGACUCUACACAAAGAGACGAUAAAGAUAAUGAAAAUUUUGUACCUCAUAGGUCUUCUACGUGGUUUUAAAGUACUUAUGUAAUUUCAUGUGAAAUAUAUCAUAUGUAUAUAAGGCGUGAUGACAUACCCUCUUUUUGGGUUUCCAGCCAUCAAAGAAAAAAAAAUGUUUAAAGUAAACUUUUAAGAAUUAUUAACGGUUCAGCACUAACAUUUUUAACUUAGCUUACUACAACUCUCUAUAGAUCAAUGUUUAUUCAAGAUUUUCAUUUCAAAUAUAGUACAUAAUAUAGAAAACAAACAUCUCUUAAAGUUUGGUUUAAAAUUUCCUUGUUUUUCUUUAAAUUUCUGUCAAUUUUUUUAUUUUU
This 1627-nucleotide long non-coding RNA is filed under the name Fragaria vesca (wild strawberry). Its description in RNAcentral is "long non-coding RNA (FVES_LNC005005)". Lineage: Eukaryota; Viridiplantae; Streptophyta; Magnoliopsida; Rosales; Rosaceae. The record is from RNAcentral.